GCUCCUUCACUCUAAAAAAGAAGAAAGAGAAAGUCCCCAGAACAAGUCACCGGUUACCCCAGCCAAUCCAAAACAAACUUCCAUGUCCUCCACAUCGGAAAUGGAAUUCACUGACCAAGAACUAGAUCAACUCAAUCGAAGCACCCACGAGCCUAAGGAUGGAACAACACCUACACAACCUCCAUCAACUGACAAGGUAAGUUAUCGUAACACCCUCUCUUCACCACCGUCUGCCAUACCCAAUGACCUUGAAUCAACAUUUUAAAACAAUUUAUCUCUACUGCUCUACAUGAUGAGCAAAUUAACCUAUCCAAUCAACCCCACUUCAUUCCUAUUUCCUCAGAUGACAAAACCAUACUAUACCGACCUUGGCACCAAUCAGUUAUUGUGAAACUAUUUGGCAAAAAAAAUAUCUUACACUAACCUUAAAAGUAAAUUACAAUCCUUAUGGCAGCCAAGUGAAUCUCUUAAAUUAAUAGAUCUAGGGUUUGAUUACUAUCUGAUUAAAUUUUUCUACAUCGAUAAUUAUACAACCGCCCUAACAAAAGGCCCUUGAUUUAUUCGAUCUCAAUAUUUAAUAGUACAACUGAGGGAACCCAAAUUUAACCCCGCUAUAGAACAAACAAUCUACUCUACUAUUUGGAUACACUUACAAGAGCUACCUACUGAAUAUGAGGACCUCCAAAUAUUUCGCAUAAUAGCAGCUUCAUAGUAAUGUUAUUAAAAAUUGAUACCUCACCAUUAACACUUUGAGGGGUAGGUAUGCAAGACUUUGUCUAUUAGCUCCUAUUGGUAAAUCCUUACGCACAGAAGUCCUCUGAGGAAAACGUACCCAACCGAUUCAUUACGAAGACUCCACUAAUUUAUGUAUAAAGUAUAUAUGGCUGUUUAGUCCAUAAUUUACAUUACUGUCCGAAAAUAACACUCCAAGCUCGUCUGCCAAUCUAUCCAUACAUGUCACUAAUUUACCUACAACUGACAAUAAUACCAAGCCCUUGGAAGACGGUUUCUUACCUAAAGAUUUCUAAAACUACUAGAGGCAAAACCAAUACUGAAAACACGGCCACCGCCCAAACCAAAAAUACGGCUGCACACAUUACUGACAAUGAGGCUCACUUACAAGAUUCUCCACAAAGUCAUGUAGCCCUAACAAAUAUGUUUGAAUUCCCCCUGAAACCCUAUUCGAUCACCCCACUACUAUGCUAUCUGUUACUUCUCCAGCCGAUCACCAUACCCUAAUCUCACUCAUUUCACAGCCAAUUAUACUAGAAAUACAAAUACAUCCACUGCCGCUACACAAAUGGACUUUACCUUUGCUUUAGCAAAAAAUCUCAUCACUUCUCCAUUUCUUCAUUCCUUAGUCCGUAAAUCUCAACAAUAAAAAAUGAUGCACCAUUCACCAAAACCUAGGACCUCAUCAUUAAACAUUCACUAUCACCAAACAUCCCCUAUAUUCACUCCUGACCCUCAAGACCUACACUCCAUCAAUGACGACACACCACUUCCAUCCAACACGUUAUCACCUUAAGAGCUUAGCACACUACCCUCCAUGUAUCAUUCACACAAGGAACCACAGUCAUAACUACUUACUCCUCCUACAUCUACACAGAAUCGUAUCCACACCCAUACUGCAAAACAACCAUCAACACCAGUCACUACCAUCACAAACUCUACUCAUAACAUUGCCCGAACUACCAUAAGAAUUACAACAUCCACUGCUUACACAUUGGAACUUCCACCUCAACAAGGUGAUCAUCACUUUUCUUGUAAUAACCUAAGCCAUGCAGAACAAGGGCUGCCAUCCACAUUCACGCAACACUUUAUAAAUACACACUCUCAUCAAACUAUACCUCUAUUUAUUUCACCAUCUCCUAACCACUUCUCCCAUAAUGCAUCGAUAUCAGUUCAACAUAACUCAUCCCCAUCAUCACUGCCAGAGGUGUUACGCCAACACUGGUCACAUCACCCACCACCACUAUCCAUCCACUUCAAAUCACCAUGCCUAUGCUCACCCACUGCCACUAAUAGGGGGGCCCUUACUUUGUCAUCACUCCCUGCACUACUUCAACCCCAUGCCACUUCAACUACUACUAGUUCCACCACCAUCACCACCACCCAUUCUCUUGGACCUGCACAUGUAAUGCAAUUAAUCAAACAACAAGAUAUCACCGCCCUCCAACUUCAAGCAUAUCUCCAACAGUAUCAACAAUGACAAUACCAUAUUUACCAGUCGCAGUUGCCACGGGGUACGCCCCAACAACUCAACUACUGGCCCUGGUAUGCCACAAACCAACAACCGAUGAAAGACAUUCAAAAACUGGAGCAACCAACACAGGUAGCACACGAGAUAUUGGAAAUAUCACUACCAAUAUCACCACCUAUAACUCAUCCACAGGAGACGCCACCUCAAGCAGACUAACAAGAAGAAGAAACUGACCUGUUAGAGACUUUAAUGGAGACACUAGUGUUGAACGAUUAUAUGAUGAUCUCCAUGCCAGAAAAUAUAGAAAAAAAAAUCUAAUAUUCAUCCCACCUGCAAUGGAGAAAGCCUCAUUGAAUAUCCACCACGACCCCUUUUCCUUGGAGGAGAAAUACAUGAUUCUCAUACACCCUCCAAGACAACCUACUGCAUGCAACUCUUUAUAAUCCACCGCACCUGCUAAUGCAUCUGGAACUAUUCCUAGCUACAUGGGAGACACCAACUCACAAUGAUAGUCUAAUGAAGAUCAUGUUAUGGAACUGCCGGGGAGCAAACAAUUAAGAGUCCCGCCGGAAUCUAACUUUUCUGCUCAAUUGGAAUAAUCCAUCCAUUUUGUGCCUCACAGAAACCAAAAUGGAGGAUCAUACAGAUCUUCUUAAUGAUUACAACUUCACUGAUCUCAGAUAAGUUGCUGCAAGGGGCCAAUCAGGAGGAAUUGUGCUACUAUGAUGCUCUCACGACCUAAUUGUGAACCCGAUGGCUAUCACGAGCCAGGAGAUCCACGCCUCUGUCCAGGUAAGCAAAUCUCCCACUUGGUUUUUAAUCUAUGCUAGUAAUUCAUACGUCCAUAGAGAAAUCUUAUGGCAAAAUCUUUCAAAAUUUCAUAAAAUAUCAUAACCAAUCAUGGCUCCGCCGUGGUGAUUUUAAUGAAAUCUCUAACUCCCCCGAAAAAUUUGGAGGAGCACCAACAAGAAUAAAUAGAUCCUUUGCUUUUAAUAAUUGUAUUAAUAAUAUCAACAUGAUUGACCUGGGCUUCCCAAGCUCCCGCCUUACUUGGACUAAUAAACCUAAAACACAUCAACCUCAAACAUCUAACAAUAAGCUUAUCAUGGAAUGUUUGGACAAAUUUUACGCAAACCAUGCGUGGGUCAAUCUAUUCCAAGAUUCUCAUGUGACACAUCUACUACGUACACAUUCCGACCACUGCCUGAUGAUUCUUAACCUCACAAAAACCUAUUCUAAACCUAACUCUAAUGUCAAACUUGAAACUCCAGCAUUCUGAUUUUUCUCGUCUGCUAAACGAAGCUUGGCUUAAUCAAAAUGACUAUCUUAUAGGUCUAAACAUUUUCACUGACACCGCUACUGAUUGAAACAUCAAUACUUUUGGAAACAUUUUCUAUAAAAAAAACUUUAUUAGCUAGAUUACAAGGCCUCCAAUGUAUGGAUCCUAACCACAAAAUUUCUUUUCACUACAACUUAGAAAAUAAGCUUACUACGGAUUUUAAUAUUCUUCUUCACCACGAAGAAGAAUUUUGAAAAUUAAAUCUAGACUUCAUUGGAUAAACGAUAGUGAUGUGAACACCACCUUUUUCCACCUCUCCACUAUUCAACGACGAAGACACAAUCGCAUAUUAGCUCUACAUGAUGCCGUAGGAAAAUGGACUUUUAACAUUUCUGAAAUACAUGAUACAAUUAUUUCUCAUUUAAACUUUAUUCCACCCAAUUAUACUCGAGCUGCUAUGAUCACACCCACUCCUACUAUAAUUAAUUAACAGAUGAAGAGAUCCACAAGUUACAACUUCCCUUAACCCCUUCAGAAAUCAAAAACGUUGUUCACUCCUUCAAACCAUUAAAAGCUCCUGGACCUGAUGUGACCUCAUUUUUUCUAAAAAUUUGGGAGCAAACGAAGCAUGCAGUUAUACACACUUGUCAUACAGCUUUCAACACAUCCACUAUUCCGAAAAUUAUAAAAUCAACGUUCGUCACACUAAUACCAAAAGUACCUCACCUUUAAAAUAUCAAUCAAUAUCGACCUAUCAACCUUCGUAAUACCAUUUAUAAAAUCAUCACUAAAAUAAUUGUUCAUAGAAUGAGACAUCUCCUACCUAACCUCAUCAAUCCAACUCAAAGUAGUUUCAUUCCUGGACAUAGAGCAGUCAUCAAUGCAAUAUUUGUCCAAGAACUCAUCAACUCCUUCCAUAUACAAAAAGGUCAAACUGAGAAUAUGAUGAUCAAAAUCGAUCUCGAAAAAGCAUUUGACAGACUUGAAUAAUCCUUUAUUCGUUUCUCCCUCCGACACUUGAAAUUCCCUCUCAAAUUGAUAAAUUUAAUUAUGUCCUGUGUUACCACUACUUCUAUAUCAAUACUUGUCAACGGGAAACCUGCCCUUUUUUUCAUUCAUCAAGAGGUUUACGACAAGGAGACCCUCUCUCUCCCUACAAUUUAUUAUAUGUAUGAAAUCCCUCUCAACUUAUUGAACAUCAUAUUGACACACUUACAUGGACACCUAUCAAAAUUAAUAGGACUGCAUCAUGCCUAUCACAUCUAUUCUUUACUGACGAUCUAAUCUUAUUAACCAAGGCUGACACCAAUAAUGCUCAAACUAUCAUUAAUAUAUUUAAUCAAAUAAGCUCUAAAUCUAGCCAACAUAUCAACUGCCAAAAGAAAUCGGCGUAUUUAGACAACAACAAUAGAAAUACUAUCACUAAUCCACUUAACAUUCCCCAAGCCGAAAAUUUCGGUAAGUAUCUGGGCCUACCUAUCACUAAUCUCCAACCAAAAUCCAACGACUACCAAUAUAUUCUUGAUAGAUUCAGCAUAAACUAUCGGGCUGAAAAACUAAAUUUCUAACACUUGCCAGAUGGGCAACUCUUAUUACCUCAGUCCUCAAUUCAAUUCCCAUCUACACUAUGCAAAAUAAUAUCAUUUCACCCAAAGUUACGAAACAACUUGAUCGCAUGCAGCGUAAUUUCUUAUGGGGUUCUACAAUCCAUCAACGCAAACUCCACUUAAUCAACUGGGCUUUAGUAACAACUCCCAAAAAACAUGGGGGACUAGGUAUCCCAAAACUCAAAUACAAAAAUUUAGCUAUUCUUGCCAAUCUUUUAUGGCGCUACUCCAACAACCCCUCAACUCUUUAGGCACAUAUGCUUUCUUCCAAAUAUAACUUGCAUAUAUAAGCAAACCCCAAAUUCAUUUAUCACCUUCACAAUAAAUCCAAUGCCUCUUAUAUUUGGAACACUACGACAAAGGUAGCUUAAAUAUGUCGACAAGGUACUAGUUGGCAUAUUGCCAACGGCCAAUCCAUUAGCAUGUGGAACGACCACUGGAUUACAACAAACACCUCAUUGAGGCAACUCAUACAAGGGCCCCUACCUUAACAUGAAAUUCUUUCACCCCUCUCCAACAUCAUAGCGUCUCAUUCUUGAGAUUUCUCUCCGCUUUCAUUCAUCCAACCCCUAGACAUACACAAUCCAUAUCAUAAUACACUCAUACAUACACAACCCUAAACAUACACUCAUACACAUGUUUCCCUAUGCGCCUGGCAAACAUUUUUGGCAUAACACCUCCACUGACCACUUCUCCACAUCCUCCGCCUACCAUCUCACACUACAAAAAACAAACCCACGACCUACCCAAUUCAUUCAUUCAUUCUUGGAUAUGGAAAUUAACCACUUUACCAAAAAUCAAAUACUUCCUAUUCUUUUUUUACAUGUCAAACUCCCCACGACUUUGUUGCUACGUCAUAGGAAUAUUUCACCCACAACAAUUUGUAAAAUUUGUUCCCACCACACUGAAGACAUUUCCCACAUUUUCCUUCACUACAAAAAUGCUUUUACCUUAUGGCAACAUUUUGGCUACACCGUACCCUCCCACGAUUUUUUCACUUGAUUACAGCACCAAUGUACCACUACCACCUUAAUCCAUACAACCUCCAACAUUAAUCUGCCUUCCUCUAUACUUACACUGGUCUAUGGAAAAUAUGGAUCACCCGCAAUCUCAAUGUCUUUAAUAACACAAAACAAAAUGUUUAUAUUCCUGUAGGCAUAUAAAUUGUAUUAGAAUUAAAUUUAUAAAUUAAUUUGGACUAUAUUUAAAAUUCAAGAUAUAUUGGUCCAAAUAAAUAUUAUAGGCUAAUAUAAUUAAAUUAAUUAUAUAAGUCCAAUACAUAUGGGUUAAAUAAAUAAGUCUUAAUACAUUGGGCUAGAGUGAUGAGUCCACUUCAUCAAGCCCAAGAUGUCAUCUUUCUAGAUGCCCAGUUUGGUGCCACGUGUCAAAUGACGUGGCACGCCAAGUCAAACGAAAGAGCCAAUAGGAUUGUGCCAUGUGUCAAAAUGACAAGGCAUGCUCAGUCACACUAAAAGGCCAAUAAAAUCGUGCCACGUGUGCAAGUGACAUGUUCUGGCCAAUCAAAUGCGGUCAUGUCACACUUCAAUUUGAUUGGUCGGAAAGAGUUUGUUCUUAUCUUGACUCCUUCCUUCCACAACUAUAAAUAGGGGUCUUCAUAACUCAGAAAAGACACCAAAAGUUAUAACAAGAAGCAAGAAAGAGCUCGUAGAUCAAACGCGGAAAAUUCCUCCACAAGUUUCAAGCUUCAAGUUCAAUUUCAAGAAAUCAAGUUCAAGCUCAAGAAUGAAGAACAAAUCAAGUUCAAGAUCAAGCUCAAAGGCCCUUGAAUUUAUUUACCAUUGAAAAGAAGAAUAAGAGGAUUCAUAGAGAUUGUAACACUCAAAUAUUUGAAAUAAAAUACUAUGAUUGUUGUGAUAUUUUUCAGUCUUGAUCUUAUUUUCUCG
This 6993-nucleotide long non-coding RNA is filed under the name Nicotiana tabacum (common tobacco). Its description in RNAcentral is "long non-coding RNA (NTAB_LNC008774)". Lineage: Eukaryota; Viridiplantae; Streptophyta; Magnoliopsida; Solanales; Solanaceae. The record is from RNAcentral.